GGACCCGCACAAGCGGUGGAGUAUGUGGUUUAAUUCGAUGCAACGCGAAAAACCUUACCAGGGUUUGAAAUAAUUUCAAAACUUCUUGAAAGAGAAGCCUCCUUCGGGAUGGAAUUACAGGUGGUGCAUGGCUGUCGUCAGCUCGUGUUGUGAAAUGUCAAGUUAAGUCUUGUAACGAGCGCAACCCAUGUCUCUUGUUGCUGUUUACAGUGCUUAAGAGAAACUGCCGAUCAACAUCGGAGGAAGGUGUGGAUGAUGUCAAGUCAGCAUGCCCCUUACAUCCUGGCUACACACGUACUACAAUGGUCGAGACAAAGGGUCGCUAACCUGCGAAGGUAUGCCAA
RNAcentral lists this ribosomal RNA (344 nucleotides) under uncultured bacterium. RNAcentral's name for it is "bacterial SSU rRNA". It matches the Rfam family "Bacterial small subunit ribosomal RNA", at positions 917 to 1271 of the family's 1533-position model. The record is from RNAcentral.